GACGAACGCUGGCGGCGUGCUUAACACAUGCAAGUCGAACGGAAAGGCCCUGCUUUUGUGGGGUGCUCGACUGGCGAACGGGUGAGUAACGCGUGAGUAACCUUCCCUUGACUUUGGGAUAACUUCAAGAAACUGGGGCUCAUCCCGGAUAGGAGCUCCUGCUGCAUGGUGGGGGUUGGAAAGUUUGGGCGGAUGGGGAUGGACUCGCGCCUUAUCAGCUUGUUGGUGGGGUAGUGGCUUACCAAGGCUUUGACGGGUAGCCGUCCUGAGAGGGUGACCGGCCACGUUGGGACGGAGCUGCGGCCCAGACUCCUACGGGAGGCAGCAGUGGGGUAUAUUGCACAAUGGGCGGAAGCCUGAUGCAGCAAAGCCGCGUGCGGGAUGACGGCCUUCGGGUUGGAAACCGCUUUCGCCUGUGACGAAGAGAGAGUGACGGUAAUGGGUAAAGAAGCACCGGCUAACUACGUG
Molecule: ribosomal RNA, 468 nt
Filed under: uncultured bacterium
Lineage: Bacteria
Description: partial 16S ribosomal RNA
Rfam family: Bacterial small subunit ribosomal RNA
Source: RNAcentral